RNAcentral lists this unclassified non-coding RNA (335 nucleotides) under soil metagenome. RNAcentral describes it as "partial contains 5.8S ribosomal RNA, internal transcribed spacer 2, and large subunit ribosomal RNA". The stretch from base 1 to 120 matches the Rfam family "5.8S ribosomal RNA", at positions 35 to 154 of the family's 154-position model. The record is from RNAcentral.
GAUGAAGAACGUAGCGAAAUGCGAUAAGUAAUGUGAAUUGCAGAAUUCAGUGAAUCAUCGAAUCUUUGAACGCACAUUGCGCCCCUUGGUAUUCCGAGGGGCAUGCCUGUUCGAGCGUCAUUACACCACUCAAGCUAUGCUUGGUAUUGGGCGUCGUCCUUAGUUGGGCGCGCCUUAAAGACCUCGGCGAGGCCACUCCGGCUUUAGGCGUAGUAGAAUUUAUUCGAACGUCUGUCAAAGGAGAGGAACUCUGCCGACUGAAACCUUUAUUUUUCUAGGUUGACCUCGGAUCAGGUAGGGAUACCCGCUGAACUUAAGCAUAUCAAAGCGGAGGA